Molecule: non-coding RNA, 74 nt
Organism: Phrynosoma platyrhinos (Desert horned lizard)
Lineage: Eukaryota; Metazoa; Chordata; Lepidosauria; Squamata; Phrynosomatidae
Source: the annotation of a GenBank genome assembly
GAGCAAGUGUGGUAUAGUGGUUUGAACGUUGGACUAUGACUCUGGAGACUAGCAUUCAAAUCCCAGCUUGCUCA